Molecule: ribosomal RNA, 253 nt
Filed under: uncultured bacterium
Lineage: Bacteria
Description: partial 16S ribosomal RNA
Rfam family: Bacterial small subunit ribosomal RNA
Source: RNAcentral
GACAGAGGGUGCAAACGUUGUUCGGAUUCACUGGGCGUAAAGGGUGCGUAGGUGGCCUGAAAAGUUUGAUGUGAAAGCUCAGGGCUUAACCCUGAAAUGGCAUUGAAUACUGUCGGGCUGGAGGUUUGGAGGGGGGACUGGAAUUCUUGGUGUAGCAGUGAAAUGCGUAGAUAUCAAGAGGAACACCAGUGGCGAAGGCGAGUCCCUGGACAACACCUGACACUGAGGCACGAAAGCUAGGGGAGCAAACAGG